GUUUAGAAAUUUUCAGAAUAUAGAAUUUACAAUAAAGAAAUCCUCUUGAUUCCUGGAUUGAUAAUGAUUCUUUAUCAAAAUUUAAUGAAUCUGUUUUCUACAGGACUAUAUUUUCCAAAGAAAGAUGGCCAUAUAAUUUUACAAUAACAUUUCAGGGUGAUAGUUUUGUACUUUUUAUAGAGUACUCAGUGAUAUCUUUUUGUUUUACAUUUUAAUGCUUAAAUUUCAGUUCACAGCUUGAUUUGCUCCUAUUAUGUUUUCCCAGUUCUGUGGCUUCAGGCUUAGAAAAUAAUACCUGAAUGUGUAAUUCUGACGAUUUAUGAAAUGACUGAGGUUUUUUUCAGUUUUGCAUUUGUGUGGUGUCUGAUGUUUUUUAAGGAGCAGAUGGUCAUAGCUACAUCAUAUAAAGUGAAAUCAAUGUAUCAAAUAUUGUGAGUGAGUUUGAUAAUGCAUUUGUUCACUUCAUUUCCUACACAUGUAGCAGAAUUAAAGUUGUGUUUGUUUAAUUAUAUAAAAGGACUAGAAAAGGAAUAACCAUCAGACACAGUAAAGACAGCUUAGAGCUGCUGCUGGAAAGGAUGAAUACAAUAAAUCUUAAAUUAGAAAGAAAACAGAAAUUAUAUUCUGUUACAUUUUAGUAAUCACCUUCUAACUGUAAGGGUUUUUUUUAUAUAUAGAUUGUUUGAGCUCUGAUAGAUGGGAAUGUCAUUAUUUAAUUAAUCUCAGUCUUCAGUAAAAUGUCAAAUUUGGUUUUAAGCAAUUAUUGCUAUUUUUUGAUAUUUGGUUGCAGAGAUCUUUGUCCCUCUUUAUUCAUUCCUGGCUGAACAGAACUGUACUUCAACGUUACUGCACAUUGAGUGGCUGAAUGGCCAGAGCACGUAGUCAGAAGGACUUCAACACUAGAACUAUGAAAGUACUAUUCAGGGUAAAAGUUCUGAAUAUCACAUUUUCCUACAAACCCAAUGAAGCAUAUAGCUAUUUCAGAAUGGAAGAAGACUGUAAUGAAUGGCAGAGAAUCAAAACUUUGGGGAAGAUAACUGGGUAGUCCAGUAAGUACUUUACGAAAAUAUAUGACCCAAAUUUUCCAAAAUGAUUGCUCAUUAUUCCAUCUUCCAAAUCUUCUUUAUCUGUAGGUAAUGAGCUAUAAAUGCUGUGUCUCUGAAAAUCAGAUCCAUAGAGGACAGUUCCUAGGCUAAAGGAGGCUGUAAUGCAACCAAUUCCCAAAUGACAUUGCUGAGACUGGUGUCCCAAUUUUCACUUGUCUCUGAAAAGUGUGC
This 1277-nucleotide long non-coding RNA is filed under the name Anser brachyrhynchus (Pink-footed goose). RNAcentral's name for it is "lncRNA (ENSABRG00000013119.1)". The record is from RNAcentral. Lineage: Eukaryota; Metazoa; Chordata; Aves; Anseriformes; Anatidae.